GAUGAACGCUGGCGGCGUGCCUAAUACAUGCAAGUCGAGCGAACAGACGAGGAGCUUGCUCCUCUGACGUUAGCGGCGGACGGGUGAGUAACACGUGGAUAACCUACCUAUAAGACUGGGAUAACUUCGGGAAACCGGAGCUAAUACCGGAUAAUAUAUUGAACCGCAUGGUUCAAUAGUGAAAGACGGUUUUGCUGUCACUUAUAGAUGGAUCCGCGCCGCAUUAGCUAGUUGGUAAGGUAACGGCUUACCAAGGCAACGAUGCGUAGCCGACCUGAGAGGGUGAUCAGCCACACUGGAACUGAGACACGGCCCAGACUCCUACGGGAGGCAGCAGUAGGGAAUCUUGCGCAAUGGGCGAAAGCCUGACGCAGCAACGCCGCGUGAGUGAUGAAGGUCUUCGGAUCGUAAAGCUCUGUUAGCAGGAACGAACAAAAGUGUAAGAAACUCUGCACGUCAUGACGGUACCUAAACAGAAAGCACCGGCUAACUACGUG
Molecule: ribosomal RNA, 497 nt
Filed under: uncultured bacterium
Lineage: Bacteria
Description: partial 16S ribosomal RNA
Rfam family: Bacterial small subunit ribosomal RNA
Source: RNAcentral